UCAGAUAAAUCAACACGUGGGGCAUCAUGCGUCUAACUUUGGAUCUUCUAGACAGCUGUCUAGUAGAAAUCAAGAGACAGACCCUUGAAAUCUCCUCGAGCAGUAUGCUGAUUUGGGGAUUAGACAUCCAUCAUGGGAUGUAAUCAUUUAUCCCCUAACCGUGUAAACUUGGAUAAUGUGCAUCAAUUAAUUCAUAACUUCUAAACUACCUCUAACACAGUUGUUUUGCAUGCAUCUAUUUGUGUAUAUAUACUUUUCACUUAUCG
Molecule: long non-coding RNA, 266 nt
Filed under: Lathyrus oleraceus (garden pea)
Lineage: Eukaryota; Viridiplantae; Streptophyta; Magnoliopsida; Fabales; Fabaceae
Description: Pisum sativum (pea) long non-coding RNA (PSAT_LNC031050)
Source: RNAcentral